GAAGCACGCCAGGCCGUCGCUGGUGCAAGGGCCGAAAGGCCGCACUGGAGGAACGUCCGGACUGCACAGGGCAGCGUAGCAGGCAACACCUGUCCACCGUGAGGUGAGGAUCAGAGCAACAGAGACGAGUCGGGAUGUCGCGUCGCGGCGGCGCAAGCCGCCGCAAAGCCCUUUCGGGGGUGAGCGGCAGACCGGGUGAAACGGGCAAUCUCUACGCGCAGCAAUACCAAAUAGGCCAGCGAUGGAGGGCGGUUCGCCGUCCUCCGGAUCCCGUGGCCCGCGGGCGGCUGGCGGGUAGGUAGCACCGAGCCGUGGGGGCGACUCCCGGCCCAGAAGAAUGGCGGUCACGCCCGGGCAACCGGGCGCACAGAAUCCGGCGUAACGGCGCGCUUCACAC
RNAcentral lists this RNase P RNA (397 nucleotides) under Ramlibacter ginsenosidimutans. Its description in RNAcentral is "Ramlibacter sp. BXN5-27 Bacterial RNase P class A". It matches the Rfam family "Bacterial RNase P class A". From Rfam's summary of the family: Ribonuclease P (RNase P) is a ubiquitous endoribonuclease, found in archaea, bacteria and eukarya as well as chloroplasts and mitochondria. Its best characterised activity is the generation of mature 5'-ends of tRNAs by cleaving the 5'-leader elements of precursor-tRNAs. Lineage: Bacteria; Pseudomonadati; Pseudomonadota; Betaproteobacteria; Burkholderiales; Comamonadaceae. The record is from Rfam by way of RNAcentral.